This 1680-nucleotide long non-coding RNA is filed under the name Apteryx owenii (little spotted kiwi). RNAcentral describes it as "lncRNA (ENSAOWG00000018343.1)". Lineage: Eukaryota; Metazoa; Chordata; Aves; Apterygiformes; Apterygidae. The record is from RNAcentral.
GUGGGCUUCUCCGGUCAAAGGGGGCUGUGGGGUAUCCUGUCAUGCUGGCGGUUUGUCCAGGGUCCCCCCGUGGCCGGAGGGGAGCCGAUGUGCUUAGGCCUGGAGGGCCGGUUUGUUGACUGGCAGGAAACAUCGCUACUGUGAGCCGUUUAGUGUUGCAAUGGUUUGAUAAGAUGAAGGACGCUGAAGUGGUUUAUCAUUUGUUACCAGGAGAUAAGACCUGAUUAGGAGGUGAAAGGCCGUGCAAUAUUUCAAUGGGGAUGCUGAGCUGCUGCUGUUUGAGACCGUAGGAAAUAAGCUGCCGUAGUGUUUACUACAGUGGUUUGAAAGCUUGUAGUAACUUGCUGUGACCUUUGUUGUCCUCCGGAAUAAAUACUAUACACUGGUGGAGGCCUCAUGCUCUCUGCAUUUUGCAAGCAGUUACAGCUUUAGUUUUUAACGUGCUACAAGCCUCAGUGUUUCCAGCGGGUCUCCCCGAGAGGGGGAAUUGCUUAAUAAAGAGGGGAGCGGUAAAUAGGUCGACGUGGAGAAGUCGGGCGAUAGCGCAAUAGAAAAACUUCCUUCUGCAGGAAUGCCCUGAACGUGUCAGUCCUCCGUAUUGCCACGUGCACCGGGUGAACUGCCAGGUUUCUUGCUCUCUCUGGGCUGCCCGUGGCUGUCGCUUUCAAACCAGCUUCUGUUCAAACCCUGGCUGUUUUGUGGGAAAAGAGCAUUCAGGAUGGUUUUGGCAGCGAUAGGGCAAGAAGAUGGAGACUGACACUAAGGGCAAACUUCCAGAGUAGGAGAGCAUUUUCAGCCUGAAAUAAGCAUUCCCAGGAGCUGCUCUGUGCUUUGAGGGGGAGGGUUCUGCGGAGCGGCCCAGGCUUCGCUGCAGAGUUGGGAACGGAGGGGACGAGGUGCAAAUCACCAGCGGGGAGGUGGGGGAGCAGCAGUGCUGACCUGAUGCCGUCUGAACUCCUCUUCUCUGAUUAAUGCCAAAGAGCGGAAAGAGAGCAAGAGGUGGAGACUCCCUUCCUUCCUGCAAUGCAUUUAUCAUGGCCACAGGAGCCGGAGAAAAGGCCACACAGCAGAAGCUGCAAACGUUCAGGAAGAUGACGUGCAGGACCUUGAAGAAGAAGUGGCUCUGACCAGCCUGUCGCCCAAUGGAAACUAUGAAGAAGCUGCUAGAGGCACGGGCACCUAGAGCCGCCGGGCACCCAGCAUGGGCCGUGUCCCGGAUCUGCCUGGUUGAUUUGGAGCUGUGAGAGGAAGAGCUGGCGCAUGCCCAAGCAUCCUCUCCUCUGGGGAGCAGCCGCUUGCCUUAAUUCGCCAGGGCCUUCUGUAGCUACCAACAGUUUCUAGCAUCCGUGCUAGCCAGCCCUCCUCUGCUCGCAGCCCUGCAGCAGCAGAGCCUUGCGGGGGCUGCGUCCCACUGCCCGUGGGGUGCCUGGAGCUGCCAGUUGGCAACGGGCUUUUGAGAAGCCCUUUGGGAACGUUAUCUUCCAGCUGGGCGUGAUGACAUGGGGAUUUGGGGUGUUAAAUGCUGCAAUCUGCCUGCAGAAAGAGGAACGCUUUCGAAUUCUGAACAAAAUUCCCUGCUGAGAGAGGCCUUUCAGGCUGGUCUCCCUGGCAAGAAGACUCUGCUGCCGUAUUUUCCUGCUUUAUUGGUGUUUUGAAGUUCCCUCCCACUCUCUGAUCAGA